Long non-coding RNA from Zonotrichia leucophrys gambelii, 189 nucleotides. RefSeq lists it as uncharacterized. The record is from RefSeq and is a predicted model, not a curated record. The transcript has 3 exons. Lineage: Eukaryota; Metazoa; Chordata; Aves; Passeriformes; Passerellidae.
CCACCUGCCUGUUGGGAGAAGUCACAACAAAACCUUACCACUCCCAGUCUCCUCUGUAUGAUGCUCAUUCAGUGCAGCAGAUUGGGAGCUGAAAGUUUCAUCAAUAAAUAUGACUCUGAUGGCUUCAUGUCAACGGUCAAGGCAUUUGAGGAAUAAAAUAAUUUCUACAGCGCCCAUGGAAACAAGGUA